RNAcentral lists this transfer RNA (68 nucleotides) under Nasutitermes sp. RNAcentral describes it as "tRNA-Trp". The record is from RNAcentral. Lineage: Eukaryota; Metazoa; Arthropoda; Insecta; Blattodea; Termitidae.
AAGGCCUUAAGUUAAAAGCAAACUAAUAACCUUCAAAGCUAUAAAUAAAGGGAUUCCUUUAGGCCUUG